AUUGUUUCAGGGACUCCGGCCUACCAUCCCAAAGCACACUCACCCAAAGCUUGGUGAGCUACUGCAGAGUUGCUGGCAGGGGAAUGCUAAGAUGAGACCCGACUUUGUUGAUAUAAUCACAAUCCUGCAGCAAAUAGCAAAGGAGGUUGCAGAAGAGGGGGAGGAUCGGCGCAAGGAGAAGCCCGGCAAAUUCCUAUCUGUCCUCCGGAGAGGACAUCAUUGAAUCGCCAGGAGCAGAGUCAAGUAGGCUUUUAUUUUCUUCAGCAUGAAAAGAUCUGUACAGUUCCCGUAGCUGAAAGUGAACACGCAGUAUGUAUCAAUGCUUCUCCUUGCAUUUGAUUGAUUCGUAAUGUAGUUAAUCAUCACUUAAAUCUUUCAAUGGCGAAUGACUUACUGCCCUCCACCAAA
This is a long non-coding RNA of Eucalyptus grandis, 408 nucleotides long. RefSeq lists it as uncharacterized. The record is from RefSeq and is a predicted model, not a curated record. NCBI's taxonomy places the organism in Eukaryota, Viridiplantae, Streptophyta, Magnoliopsida, Myrtales, Myrtaceae. The transcript is spliced from 2 exons.